AGAGAAGUUUGUACUUUCUGGAAUCAUAAAAAAAGAACAAAAAAAAUUUGAUCUUCAGUACAGCUGCAGGCCUGAAUUCUGAAAUUUUUUACCAAAUCUGCCAUUCAGACAGUGGCAGUAAUUGGCUCUUCUCCUCUUUUCCAAUGGAGGAAGAGAUGAACAAAUCAGAUGCCAUCUUUUCACGUCCUGCCUAUGCUCCAUCAUCUCACUCUCUCCGUCUGAUAGACUGUAUCAGGGAAGUGAACGGAGCACCUAUGGGGGAGAAGAUGGGGGAAACAGGAAUGUGAGGGGGAGGAGCUCAGACAAGGCGCAAAUUUUAAAUCUUGCGAGUUCCCCAACAUCACCAACUCCAGCUUAAAGAAAAAACUCCAGCUUGGAAAAAAAAAAAGGGUUUUGUGAAAGCUAAAUUUGGUUGAUUAAAACACAAAUGUUCUCCUUUUUUCAUCUUUUAAAUUCUCUCUAGGAGCACUUUUUUGAUGCCAGAAGUAAUGAAGGCUACAUUGCUUGGAAACUGAAAAACAUGCAGCAUGAACUCAGCAGUGGCAGUAGGUGGAGCAGCAGCAGCAGCAGUCCGUCAAGUAACAGAGGUCCACGAUUUGACAGACCUGUGACUGCAGCGCAUCAGUUGGAAGGAGAUCUGUGCAGAGAAGCCAUAUCCCUUUUGAGGCACAGCACAGAAGAAGAGCAGAUCUUCAUGAAAAUGAAGCAAACAUUUCAAUACAGACAGAUGCUAAUCCGUGAUCCUGAGAGGAGUGAGACCAUCCUGACAGUGUUCCCAAGGUUUCUGGACACAAAAGGCUUGGUGCUUCAGGAUUUCCAAAUGAUGUUUGGAGAAGAAAUCUCAUCUAAGCUGAUGGAGAAGUGGGAUACCUCACUGAAGCUGAAAGUCAUCAAAGAAGCACGCAACCUCACAAAGACGCCAAAUCUUGACAGCCUCAUUCAGUCUGCUGAGGAGAACCCUGAUGAAAAUGAUGAAUCAUCAGGUGAGACUUUUAUUAAGUCACUCAGUUCUGGUUGUCUUGAGUUUCUUAAUUUAGUUUUUACUCGUUUCAUGGAAUACAUUACGUGUGGAGAGGUAAAAAAUUUUGUUUUUAAACAACUUUUCCUCAACAUUGCUUCAACUUUGUGAGCCUGCUUAUGAAAAACUUUUACUUUUUGCAUUAUUUUCCCACAGUAAAAGCAGGGAAAGCAUGGCUGAUAUUUUUCAAUAUAAAUAUUUCUAUUCCAGCUUGGGACUUGGGACAUGGCAGCACUGUUGCUGUUGGUUUAUCUUCUUCCUCCUCCACCUGGUGGGAAAAAGAGACCUGUGAAGAUCACCGUUCGAGAAGCUGUACAUCACAUUGUGCGGUUCCAUAAAUCAUGUCGCAACCUUCAGGACACAAUUGCCUCAGUUCAAGGAAGGCAGCCCUACCUUCUGGCAGUGGAGACGUCCCGUGGCAGCAUCAAUGACUACUACAUCGUGGUGGACAGUCAGCUCAUCCCCUGCAAGGCCAUGUCUUCACUGUCAGCCUUUGAUGAACUUUUCAAAGCGCACUAUGUGUUUGGCAUCUCCUAUGAUCCAGCCCUGCACAACAUGUACACUUUUGUGCAGACCACCAUUUACAACAUUGAUGUUGGCCUCUGCCAUGAAAGCCCCAGGGUGAUUGAUCUCAGAGUCAAGCUUCAUAAUUGAGUAAGAGGAUUUAAUAAAAGUAAUGAUCAGGUGUUUUGUUUGCAAACGUAACAGCAGUUCUACCAAAGAUUUGUUUCGCCAUUUUAAAUCCUUAUUUUUAUUGUCCGAUUUUUGUGUAUGUUUUGAUUUUGCUACCUUUUGUUUUUUCUCUUUGGUUUUUGCUUGUUGUUUUCCUUUGGUUAUGGCCCAUAUCGGAUAUUGGCAGUCUGUAAGUGCAUUCUUGAUGUGUUUUUCCUCCUCCUGUCUGUCUUUAUCGUCCGUUAUUAUGCUAGUCCGUUCAUAGAGUGUUCUAACUACUGAUAAUUUGUGUGCUGUGGGAUGUUCUGAUGUCCAGAGGAGGUACUGGUCCGUGUGUGUAGGCUUUUUAUAAACUGUUAUUUUAAUGCUGCCGUCUUGUUUGUGAUUUAUGUUUAUGUCCAAAAAUGAGAUGGUCCGGUUUAUUUCUUCCACUGUUUCUUGGGAGUUCACAAGUUUGUUCCAGUCUUGGCAGCACAGGGCGAUAUGGGCUGGGUUCCUGGAUAUAUCUUAAGGAAAUGUGAAAUGGUUAGACUGUGGAACCUUAUUAUUUAUAUGUCUGAUAACGGAAUAACAAAAACGGUCUUCCUUUGGAGUAAAUCUAACUCUCCCUGGCUGCGGAGCUUCGAGCAGUCUUUAACGAAGCACAGCUUCUUUAUAUAUUUCAUAACAAUUUGCCCUGCAAUAUUAAAGACAUUCAAACUAAAUUAUUGUCAAUAUUUAAAGAAAGGUGGAAAAGUGAGAUUUUGACUACGGACUUAUGUUCAGAUAAAGGAUGAUUUCGAGGCAGAAUUUUACAUUACAUCUAAUCUGACAAGGAGCCAGAUUUAAUGUAAUUGCUCAAUUACUCAAUUGCUCAAUUACGAACUGGAAUUCUACCUCUGACUUUAGAGACUGGAAGGUUCUCACAAACACCUGAGGAAAAGAGACUGUGGACGAUGUAAAGUGGGAGAAGUUGAGAGUGAAUCUCAUUUUUUGUUGUAUUGUUCUUUUUAUGAUGACCUCAGAAAUGUUUUGUUCAGUGAAGUAUCUGUUAAAAAGCUUGAUUUGUUCUGGUGUAGUGACGAUGACAAGAUGAAAUAUUUAUGUACAUAUAAUGCUUAUAACCUGGCUCGAUUUGUUUGUAAAGCCUGGAAAAGGCGGCAGACUUCUUUAUUUAAAUAAUGAAAUUCUAAAAUGUGUUUAUUGUGCCUACUGUCUGGCAAUUGGCUUGGUGUUUAUUUUGGUGUCUUAUAAACCAAUGUUAGGGCUGAGCAUACUAA
Molecule: long non-coding RNA, 2949 nt
Organism: Acanthochromis polyacanthus (spiny chromis)
Lineage: Eukaryota; Metazoa; Chordata; Actinopteri; Pomacentridae
Exons: 3
Source: RefSeq, a predicted model, not a curated record